Molecule: long non-coding RNA, 642 nt
Filed under: Eucalyptus grandis
Lineage: Eukaryota; Viridiplantae; Streptophyta; Magnoliopsida; Myrtales; Myrtaceae
Description: long non-coding RNA (EGRA_LNC002372)
Source: RNAcentral
CCCCUCCUUCGUUCUUUCCUCCCCACCUGGGCCGGGCUCUGGUCUCCCUGCAACGUCCUCAGGCGACGCCUGCACUAGCCCCUACCCGGCGUUGAAGAAGUCUCACCACCACUUCCGCCAAUUCUUGGUGUCGGUGUCUAGCAGCCUCAGGUCUAGAUCCAACGUCAUCCAUACACGUGAGAGAAAAAGGAAACUGUUCAUCGUUCUUGAAAUUCUCCGGCUCGAGAUCGCUUGUUCUCCUCCGCCAGUGUGGUUUAACUUCUUGACACCGUUGCUGAUCUUGUCCAGUGGUCUGGUUCGCCUUCUCGUUGAUAUUGUCGAGGCCUUAUUGCUGUUGUUGAUCUCUGGCUCCUGUCCUUCUACGAACGCCGGCACGGCUGUCCCUCACCAGUCACUACGCUUGCUGCCAGCUUGUCCAUCGUGCACCUCUACCUCUCCUGCUGGCACGUCCCGUCACUUGGCAUCACUGCCCAUCACCAACGACUUGCCGCCACCCCUCAUUGUCUGACGGUCGCGUGCGCGUGGCCAACCCAGCAAAAACAGCUGCGAUCAGUCCUCCGCAUUCUUGGCAUCCCUGUUGCAGCAUCCAGCAGUUCCGCUGUCAUUGUUCCCAACAGUCCCGGAAAUCUCUGGACCUCUUCC